Molecule: ribosomal RNA, 558 nt
Filed under: Ammomanopsis grayi (Gray's lark)
Lineage: Eukaryota; Metazoa; Chordata; Aves; Passeriformes; Alaudidae
Description: Ammomanes grayi (Gray's lark) partial 16S ribosomal RNA
Rfam family: Bacterial large subunit ribosomal RNA
Source: RNAcentral
GAAAGCAGGGAUAAUACCAUAAGACGAGAAGACCCUGUGGAANUUCAAAAACAGCAACCACCCCAAAAUACAUGCACCCCCAACUCGGGCUCACUUACCCCUCUAAGCACUGGUUUGCAUUUUUUCGGUUGGGGCGACCUUGGAGCAAAAAAGAACCUCCAAAAACUGGACCACAACUCCAGACUGAGAGCAACCCCUCAACGUGCGAAUAGCACCCAGACCCAAUAUAAUUGAUCAAUGGACCAAGCUACCCCAGGGAUAACAGCGCAAUCUCCUCCGAGAGUCCAUAUCGAAGGGGAGGUUUACGACCUCGAUGUUGGAUCAGGACAUCCUAGUGGUGCAGCAGCUACUAAGGGUUCGUUUGUUCAACGAUUAACAGUCCUACGUGAUCUGAGUUCAGACCGGAGCAAUCCAGGUCGGUUUCUAUCUAUGAUGAACUCUUCCCCGUACGAAAGGAUAGGAAAAGUGAGGCCAAUACCACAAGCAAGCCUUCGCCUUAAGUAAUGAAGCCAACUCAAUUACAAAAGGCUAUCACUUCCCCCCACGUCCAAGAAAAGG